RNAcentral lists this ribosomal RNA (446 nucleotides) under uncultured bacterium. Its description in RNAcentral is "SSU rRNA". It matches the Rfam family "Bacterial small subunit ribosomal RNA", at positions 26 to 518 of the family's 1533-position model. The record is from RNAcentral.
AGAACGAACGCUGGCGGCAUGCCUAACACAUGCAAGUCGAACGAGACCUUCGGGUCUAGUGGCGCACGGGUGCGUAACGCGUGGGAAUCUGCCCUUAGGUACGGAAUAACAGUGAGAAAUUACUGCUAAUACCGUAUGAUGUCUUCGGACCAAAGAUUUAUCGCCUAGGGAUGAGCCCGCGUAGGAUUAGCUAGUUGGUGGGGUAAAGGCCUACCAAGGCUACGAUCCUUAGCUGGUCUGAGAGGAUGAUCAGCCACACUGGGACUGAGACACGGCCCAGACUCCUACGGGAGGCAGCAGUGGGGAAUAUUGGACAAUGGGCGAAAGCCUGAUCCAGCAAUGCCGCGUGAGUGAAGAAGGCCUUCGGGUUGUAAAGCUCUUUUACCCGGGAAGAUAAUGACUGUACCGGGAGAAUAAGCCCCGGCUAACUCCGCGCCAGCAGCCGC